UCUGGUUUUGUCAACAGUUUCACACUUUUUCCUUAUUAAAUCAUCUAACUCAACACAUCUGCCUGUUCCUUGGAUUUUGAUUAGGAGAGUGUUUAGCUGUCCGUAUAGCUGAGUUUAUGUUUACUAGGACAAUACUUAGUGAGGACAGAACAGUGAAAAGUUGAACCAUCACAUCAAGCUGUGAAGGAAUCUCGGCAGCCCAUUUCUUAGCCACCAGUAACCAGUGAGUAGAAGAAAAACACCAAAGAGGCUACGCUCGCUUCUUCGGUAUCUUUUUACGGGAUUUGAAGACCCAUUCACCUGCCUGUAUUAAACGAUGUCAAGCUCAAACCCUAUCAACGCCGUAUCAGAGCCUGGAGCUUAGGUCAGAGUGUGCUGCCUCAGCUGCAUUUUCCAAGCAAAGUUCAAAUAAAUCUUCAGCUAGUGCCACUGCUGCUAAAGCUCGUGCCAAGGCGGAAGCUGCACGCACGCGAGCAGCCUAUGCAAAACGUCAAAUAGACAUGCAAGUGGAGAAAGCACGCAUAGAGGCUGCAUUGAAUGCACUAAAAGAAGAGUGUGAAGCUGAGGCUGCCUCAGCAGAGGCUCAAGUGUUUGAGGCUGCUGCAGAUUUAGACAACUGUGACCUUGGGAGUAAAGCCAGUCAUGCUCAAGCAACGAGGCAGUCAUUUCAGCAAACUGAUUCCCAGACUUGUCUGAGAACCUUUCCCUGGACCCCUGAGUGUGGCAGUGUGAAGUGCAGUGAAAGCAUGAGUGGCAGAAGAGGAGCAUGUGUGAGCGGAGGAAGUGUGGAUGUGCGAUUUCAGCUUAUCACACAUUUGAUUUCCAUGUGUGACAACUGCAAGUGUCCAGAGUGAGGACAGACUGAGGGACCCACUGCUGCACAUCAUCUGUGAGGCUUUGCACCCCUGAUGAUCCACCAGGACAAACUCAGCAGUGUGUGAGGAAGAGGAGGAGGAAGAGCCAGCAGCAGCUGACAGAUGGAGAGAAUAGACAGACUGUUCCCUGUUUGUGAAGGACUGCUAGGAAAGUUUAACAUAACUAAUUGUCUGUCCUGAAUCAGUCUUAUUAGGUAAUGUUCAAAUAAUGUUAUCAUUCCAGUGUUUUCAGUGUGGGAGAAAGUACUCAGGGCCUUCAAGUUACACACUAUGAAAGGCAGCAACAAGUUUAAUAUUCAGAAACCUAAAGUAUGUAUCAGCAGCAGAAUGGAGCUAAAAAUAAAUGUUUGUUUCAGUUCUAUGAAGCUUUGAGUAUUUUGGAUUAGUAGCACUGCUGUGUUUGUUGCAUCA
Oreochromis aureus is the source of this 1286-nucleotide long non-coding RNA. NCBI's taxonomy places the organism in Eukaryota, Metazoa, Chordata, Actinopteri, Cichliformes, Cichlidae. The record is from Ensembl.